RNAcentral lists this ribosomal RNA (301 nucleotides) under uncultured bacterium. RNAcentral's name for it is "partial 16S ribosomal RNA". It matches the Rfam family "Bacterial small subunit ribosomal RNA", at positions 509 to 807 of the family's 1533-position model. The record is from RNAcentral.
CAGUCGCCGCGGUAAUACAGAGGGUGCAAGCGUUAAUCGGAAUUACUGGGCGUAAAGCGCGCGUAGGUGGUUUGUUAUGUUGGAUGUGAAAUCCCCGGGCUCAACCUGGGAACUGCAUCCAAAACUGGCAAGCUAGAGUAUGGUAGAGGGUGGUGGAAUUUCCUGUGUAGCGGUGAAAUGCGUAGAUAUAGGAAGGAACACCAGUGGCGAAGGCGACCACCUGGACUGAUACUGACACUGAGGUGCGAAAGCGUGGGGAGCAAACAGGAUUAGAUACCCCCGUAGUCCCUGUCUCUUAUAC